Molecule: long non-coding RNA, 3546 nt
Organism: Esox lucius (northern pike)
Lineage: Eukaryota; Metazoa; Chordata; Actinopteri; Esociformes; Esocidae
Source: Ensembl
UAGAAGUUCCAUGAGGACCUAGGGGAACAGUUAAUAUUUUCCUUAACAUACCAAACAAUUUACUUGGAUUACUGUAUACCUGUUGGGUUAUAAUCGUUUGUUUUCAAACCACUUGAAAAUUAUUUUCUCAUGGCUUAUUUUAAAUAUUUUCAGAAAAAGCAAAAAGGUCUGUUCCAGAUGAGCGAUGUAGUUGUCUGUUUGUAGCCUCAGUAGAUCAAGUGGCAGAAAGCAACUUUAAUGUGCAGUAACACAUGAAUGUCAUUAAUUUCCAAACCAGCCUGUAAAACAUGAAUGUGUCAUUCUUACAAUUUCACAGACAUCUCUCUUCUGCCUUCACUCAUUAUGAUGCAUACAGAUGCUAUGGAAAGUUUACACAACCUUUGCACUUUGUCUUCACAUUUUGCUGCAUUGUUUUGUUGGGGGUCAUUGAUGGAUAGCAAUAUUCAAACUGUCUAAUUUUUUUUAAAGAAAGCAAAUUGAAGUCAGGAUUGAGAUUAGGCUGUCCAAAAACGAUUAACAACUCUGUUGUCCUUGUCUUUAUAAUGUGUGCAGCUGUUCCACAUCUUAGGUUUUGACUGUCAUAACACCCAGACCAGUUUUCCUCUAUCUUUUUACAUGGACUUUGGUACUUUUAAUAAGAUUCCUAACAAAUUCUUUAGUCCCUGUCAGGACAAGCAUACCCAUAACAUGAUCUUUAACCACAAUACAAAAUGGAAAGCAAAUCAAGUAUAUUGAAUUCACUCACAUAACACAUUUCAUUAAGUAAAUGGAAGAAAUCCUGCACUCCAAAUAAUCCUUUCUGUUUGAAACAAGGCCAUUAAUAAAUCCAAUACAACACAGUAAAAACCUCUGGAACUAUAAGUAUUGUAAUGGCAGCCUCAUGUUAAUGGUAUGCUUAUCGACAAUGACUGGGUACUUUGUCUGGAUCAGAAGAAAUAUGAAGCGAGCAAAGCCUAGGUAAAGAGUUAAAGCAUCAUCCCACUUGAUUUUUCUGGUCACUUACCCUUGGGGAUCAAGUUUUUUUUUUGUGGUGAGACAAUUAUGUCAAAAACACACCGCUAUAGGUUUCUGAAAUGUUAAGUUUGAGUGGUCCAGUCUUAGGCUUAAUGCUGUCAUGACUGCAUGUUGCUCUAAGAGUUAUGAAUAUGUUAAAGUAUUAUCCUGAAGGUUUUGUAGCUGUAAUGACUGCCAAAGGUGCUUUCAACUGGUAUUCAUGUAGGGUCUCAAUAUAACUUAAGUUGACUAGGAAAGACAAAUGUCUAAAGAGAAUAUAAUAUAGUAAUACUGUAUUUAAUGUGACAUGACAUUUGUGUCAUGUUUUAACAAUAUCCAGCUAAAGACUGUGAGUGAACCUUAUUUAUUUAUUACAGUUAAGCUACAACAGUAUAUUAAAACCUUUUAUACCAGCAAUUGUUAAAACAUUAAGAGUAUAAUAAAUGUACCCAGGUUUUAUCUUGUCAAGCCAGGCUUAUGUCAAAAUGUUUAGAAUCACUUCAACCUGGCCAAAUGGAGUGAAAACAGCAGUCAUAAAAAUACUCUCUUUUGCUGGGUGUGAAAAAAGUUUGUGAUCCUUGACCCGGACAGCAUUUUGAAUUGUGACAAUAUCAUCAAACGAGUUUGACGCCUGCCAUUCGCCAACACAUCAUAUAACGUCUUAAUUUCACUCUCUUUGGAUUUCUCUACAAUUACUGCGGCAGAAGAAAGGCACAAUCAACACUUUGUUUUGAAUAUGUUACAUUUCAAAUUGUGGAGACAGUUGUGUAUAUUUUCAGGAGAAAAUCUACCGCAGCAAAAUAUGAAGACUCUGAAAAGGGUGUGUAGACUGUCACUCUAAUGCUUACCUCCACCUACUGUAUGUGUAUAUCGCAGUGUGUUUGUAAACGUAUAUAUUCAUAUAUUCAGGAAUGUAUAGGCACAUACUGUAUAUGUAUACUUACAGCAAGUAUAUUUAAAAAAAAAAAUCCUUAAUUUUGUUCUUCAGUGUGACUUCGACUAAUACCUUUUAAAAGAGGUUGGAGGAUGAACUCUCUUGUUCAUUUUCUUUCUUAAAAUUAUUUUUCCAAUAACUAGGUUAUGUUUUCACUCCUUUCUGCCGAAGGCUUUACACAGAUAAAUAGAUCGACAAGACAACUGCAGACUAAUCUGAUUGUGCUGGUUUGGGGGCAAAAUGUAUAGUCCCGUAGGACUUCCUAUAAAAAUAUAGUGCACUGAAUAAGGAUGCAGCCACAGACAGGUCAGCAGCCAUUUUCUUUUUUACGACACCAAAGAGUUGCUUCAUUAUACAGUACACUGUUUUCUUGAUUGUCCAAGCUCCUGCAGUCUGUCUGAAUGUGAUAACUACAUAUCUAUAGACUAUACUGUUUGGAAAAUGGUUAAAUGGCUUCUCGGUGCUCGUCCCACCCAAACCUUGUAAUUUGCCAUUCAACACAGUUUUUUUGGGCAAAAUAAAACUGUGUUUUAUUUUGGAUUUGGCGUCUCGUACUACUGAGCUACAUACAUUGGAAAGAGCUGUUGUGUGGUUUUGCACUAUUUUCCGUAUCUAGAACCACUCAGUUUAUUUAAUUUUUUAAAACAUUAAACCUUCUUGUUUAUUUUUCUCAGAAGGACCAAAACAUGAUGGAAAAAUUUACUGUGUCAUUUGCCAGUAAUACUGACUGGCUUCACUUUAAGAUUUUUUUUCAUUUCCAGUUAAUUAUAUUCUUAUAUAUUUAUAUAUUUGAAAAAAUAUAUAUACUUUUAAUUUCAAUAUAUUACAAAUGAAUACUUUUAAUAUAUAAUUUAAGAAAAAUACAAAUUGUGCAUUUAAGAUAACAAAUUUGUCUCCAAAACAAUGGUUGUACAUAUUGCCCAUUAUUCAAACAUGAAAAUAAAAAAAAUUCUGGUGAUAUAUUAAAUGUGUGCAUCUCAAAAUCAACUAUAUCCAGUUUUGGGAGGUUUUCUGUCAAUGGUAGUGAUUCCUGUCUGAAUGGGCUACCAGUAUAUUUAGAGGCACUAAAAGCCCUUUUGUCAGGUCACAACAUAUUUGAUGUCCUAAAUGUACUCUAGCGCAUAGGAAGAUGCAUGAUCUUUAGUGUUUACAGACUUGAAAGAACCAUUUAUUCAAUACAGUCUAUCAGAACCUAUCUUGAUUAAUCACAAAUUCAUAAAAUUCCUCAUUGUCUGUCAUUUUCAUCAGUUCAGCUGAGUGUGGACUUUUUUUUUCUCCCUUUGGAAUAUGAUAGACUUUAUUCAAUGAGAUCCAUAUUUCUUUUCCUGUGUUCCCCAUAAACCAUUUGCUUAACUGAAACUACCCUGUACACAAUAUAUGAAGCCAGGAGAGACCAAUGGGUUUCCCAACUUACCUGUCACUAUAUCAAUCUUCGGGGUUAAAAUUUCUCCGGAGUUACAGUAUUUUCUCAUAAUGGCAAUUCAUUGUACAGUUUUAUGAAGAUACAAUUUCACAGGGAUAGCUGAAUCUCAAUUAAUUUGCUGCCACAAGAAUUAGGAAUUAUGAAGUAUAGAUAUUAUUGUGCAAUGAAAAAAUAAAUGUAAAAUCAUAAGAACCCA